GGGAAUGUGGCUUAGUGGUAGAGCAUUUGCUUGGUAUGUAUGAGACCCUGGGUUCAAUCCACAGCACCA
RNAcentral lists this transfer RNA (69 nucleotides) under Ictidomys tridecemlineatus (thirteen-lined ground squirrel). RNAcentral describes it as "Spermophilus tridecemlineatus (thirteen-lined ground squirrel) tRNA". It matches the Rfam family "tRNA". From Rfam's summary of the family: Transfer RNA (tRNA) molecules are approximately 80 nucleotides in length. The record is from Rfam by way of RNAcentral. Lineage: Eukaryota; Metazoa; Chordata; Mammalia; Rodentia; Sciuridae.